AACGAACGCUGGCGGCAUGCCUAACACAUGCAAGUCGAACGAGACCUUCGGGUCUAGUGGCGCACGGGUGCGUAACGCGUGGGAACCUGCCCUUAGGUUCGGAAUAACUCCCCGAAAGGGGUGCUAAUACCGGAUAAUGUCUUCGGACCAAAGAUUUAUCGCCUUUGGAUGGGCCCGCGUUGGAUUAGCUAGUUGGUAGGGUAAAGGCCUACCAAGGCAACGAUCCAUAGCUGGUCUGAGAGGAUGAUCAGCCACACUGGGACUGAGACACGGCCCAGACUCCUACGGGAGGCAGCAGUGGGGAAUAUUGGACAAUGGGCGAAAGCCUGAUCCAGCAAUGCCGCGUGAGUGAUGAAGGCCUUAGGGUUGUAAAGCUCUUUUACCCGGGAUGAUAAUGACAGUACCGGGAGAAUAAGCUCCGGCUAACUCCGUG
This 433-nucleotide ribosomal RNA is filed under the name uncultured bacterium. RNAcentral describes it as "partial 16S ribosomal RNA". It matches the Rfam family "Bacterial small subunit ribosomal RNA", at positions 29 to 507 of the family's 1533-position model. The record is from RNAcentral.